ACAAGCGGUGGAGCAUGUGGUUUAAUUCGAUGCAACGCGAAGAACCUUACCUGGGCUUGACAUCCCGGGAAUCCCUGGGAAACAGGGAGUGCCCUUCGGGGAACCCGGUGACAGGUGCUGCAUGGCUGUCGUCAGCUCGUGUCGUGAGAUGUUGGGUUAAGUCCCGCAACGAGCGCAACCCUUGUCUUUAAUUGCCAUCAUUUAGUUGGGCACUUUAAAGAGACUGCCGGUGUUAAGCCGGAGGAAGGUGGGGAUGACGUCAAGUCCUCAUGGCCUUUAUGCCCAGGGCUACACACGUGCUACAAUGCCCACUACAAAGCGAUGCCACCCGGCAACGGGGAGCUAAUCGCAAAAAGGUGGGCCCAGUUCGGAUUGGGGUCUGCAACCCGACCCCAUGAAGCCGGAAUCGCUAGUAAUCGCGGAUCAGCCAUGCCGCGGUGAAUACGUUCCCGGGCCUU
RNAcentral lists this ribosomal RNA (458 nucleotides) under uncultured Syntrophaceae bacterium. RNAcentral's name for it is "bacterial SSU rRNA". It matches the Rfam family "Bacterial small subunit ribosomal RNA", at positions 925 to 1382 of the family's 1533-position model. Lineage: Bacteria; Pseudomonadati; Thermodesulfobacteriota; Syntrophia; Syntrophales; Syntrophaceae. The record is from RNAcentral.